CCAAAAGCACACUAUUUGGAGCUUCCGUUUUGGCAUUCCAGUUCUGAGAAAAAGUCUUAGCACGUUUUUUGGUAAAAAAGAAUCCACAUCAUGUCUGAACGUUGGUACGACUGUGGAAAGGAGCCGGAGGAAAUCAAAGGAGUUGUGAUGAGAAACGGCGGGCUGAUGUAUAUUAUGAAGUUCAAGGGCCAGGAAGAGACAGAGCUGGUUCUGUCGACCGAGGUCAAAAAGCGGCUACCUCAGAUGAUAAUCAAGUUUUACGAGAAUCGCGUGGAUAUGUCCGCCUGGAUUGGCAUCAAGCACUGGGAGAGGUGUCUCCACAGCUCUACUGGAUAAUUAAAUUCAAUUCCAUACCACUCGAAA
This is a long non-coding RNA of Drosophila bipectinata, 363 nucleotides long. RefSeq lists it as uncharacterized. NCBI's taxonomy places the organism in Eukaryota, Metazoa, Arthropoda, Insecta, Diptera, Drosophilidae. The record is from RefSeq and is a predicted model, not a curated record.